Molecule: ribosomal RNA, 1504 nt
Filed under: metagenome
Description: bacterial LSU rRNA
Rfam family: Bacterial large subunit ribosomal RNA
Source: RNAcentral
GCCUAAGGCGAGGCAGAAAUGCGUAGUCGAUGGACAGCAGGUUGAGAUUCCUGCACCCGUAAUGAACAGAACUGUAGUGACACGGAAGGUAAGACAGAGCCGGGAAUGAGAAAGCCGGUGCAAGCACAAUAGAUGUGUGGGAGGAAAAUCCCCCGCAUAAGUCGAAGGUGUGACGCGGACCGAAAAAGAGUAGGGAAGCUGUUAAGCAAGCCGUCAAGAAAAGCUGCUAUUGUUUCAUUAUGGCCCGUACCGUAAACCGACACAGGUGGAUGGGGAGAGAAUCCUAAGGCCGGCGGAAGAAGUAUUGUUAAGGAACUCGGCAAAAUGACCCCGUAACUUCGGGAGAAGGGGUGCCUGCGAAAGCAGGCCGCAGAGAAGAGGCCCAAGCAACUGUUUAGCAAAAACACAGGUCUAUGCAAAACCGAAAGGUGAGGUAUAUGGGCUGACGCCUGCCCGGUGCUGGAAGGUUAAGGGGAGUGGUCAGGAAACGAAGCCACGAACUUAAGCCCCAGUAAACGGCGGCCGUAACAAUAACGGUCCUAAGGUAGCGAAAUUCCUUGUCGGGUAAGUUCCGACCCGCACGAAAGGCGUAAUGAUUUGGGCGCUGUCUCGACAAUACAUCCGGUGAAAUUGAAGUGCCAGUGGAGAUGCUGGCUACCUGCGCCAGGACGGAAAGACCCCAUGGAGCUCUACUCCAGCUUGAUACUGGGACCCGGUAUUGCAUGUACAGGAUAGGUGGGAGGCUAGGAAAUGUGGACGCCAGUCUGCAUGGAGCCGCUGUUGGGAUACCACCCUUGUGGUGCUGGGUUUCUAACCAGAGGCCGUGAACCGGUCUGGGGACAAUGUCAGGUGGGGAGUUUGACUGGGGCGGCCGCCUCCGAAAGGGUAUCGGAGGCGCCCAAAGGUUCCCUCAGAAUGGUUGGAAACCAUUCGAAGAGUGCAAAGGCAGAAGGGCUUGACUGCGACACCGACGGGUGGAGCAGGUACGAAAGUAGGGCUUAGUGAUCCGGUGGAAUUUAAGUGGGAAUGCCAUCGCUCAACGGAUAAAAGCUACCCUGGGAUAACAGGCUGAUCACUCCCAAGAGUUCACAUCGACGGAGUGGUUUGGCACCUCGAUGUCGGCUCAUCGCAUCCUGGGGCUGAAGUCGGUCCCAAGGGUUGGGCUGUUCGCCCAUUAAAGCGGUACGCGAGCUGGGUUCAGAACGUCGUGAGACAGUUCGGUCCCUAUCCGGCGUGGGCGUAGGAUAUCUGAGAGGAGCUGUCCUUAGUACGAGAGGACCGGGAUGGACUGACCUCUGGUGUACCGGUUGGCGAUCAACGCCACGGCCGGGUAGCCAUGUCGGGACGGGAUAAACGCUGAAGGCAUCUAAGCGUGAAGCCCCCCUCAAGAUGAGAUAUCCCAUCGUAAGAGUAAGACCCCUUGAAGACGACGAGGUUGAUGGGGCAGGGGUGGAAGUGCUGUAAGGCAUGGAGCUGGCUGCUACUAAUCGGUCGAGGGCUUGUC